RNAcentral lists this ribosomal RNA (554 nucleotides) under Cladosporium sphaerospermum. RNAcentral describes it as "eukaryotic LSU rRNA". The stretch from base 189 to 342 matches the Rfam family "5.8S ribosomal RNA". Lineage: Eukaryota; Fungi; Ascomycota; Dothideomycetes; Cladosporiales; Cladosporiaceae. RNAcentral also lists the same sequence under 1 other name. The record is from RNAcentral.
UCCGUAGGUGAACCUGCGGAGGGAUCAUUACAAGUUGACCCCGGCCCUCGGGCCGGGAUGUUCACAACCCUUUGUUGUCCGACUCUGUUGCCUCCGGGGCGACCCUGUCCUCCGGGCGGGGGCCCCGGGUGGACAUUUCAAACUCUUGCGUAACUUUGCAGUCUGAGUAAAUUUAAUUAAUAAAUUAAAACUUUCAACAACGGAUCUCUUGGUUCUGGCAUCGAUGAAGAACGCAGCGAAAUGCGAUAAGUAAUGUGAAUUGCAGAAUUCAGUGAAUCAUCGAAUCUUUGAACGCACAUUGCGCCCCCUGGUAUUCCGGGGGGCAUGCCUGUUCGAGCGUCAUUUCACCACUCAAGCCUCGCUUGGUAUUGGGCGACGCGGUCCGCCGCGCGCCUCAAAUCGACCGGCUGGGUCUUUCGUCCCCUCAGCGUUGUGGAAACUAUUCGCUAAAGGGUGCCGCGGGAGGCCACGCCGUUAAACAACCCCAUUUCUAAGGUUGACCUCGGAUCAGGUAGGGAUACCCGCUGUACUUAAGCAUAUCAAUAAGCGGAGGA